UUCCCUGCGUGCCAGCUCCUGACAAGCUGUACUAAAUGUUCUUUUCUGGCCAUGGCAAUUUCCUUCCCAGCAGCUCUCACCCAAAGUGCGAGGGGCAGCAGCAGAAGGGGACAUUGCCAUCCUGACUAUUCCCACAGAAUCAGGAGCAAGAACGUUUCUGAGGGAUAACAGGUUGUUUUGGCGAGUAAUCAACUGUAAAGGUGAUGAACAGCUGAUAUAAAUACAGUCUCCAGAAGCAAAGCCAUUCUCCAAGUUAGUGAGCGACAGCCUGUGCCCUAAAGAUGGGUGAGCAGCAACGAUGGAUCUACCCAGGACUCCUCCCAGGGAUCCUGACAGCCCUGCUUGCAUUUUAGUGAGUGACCUGCUGGUUCAAAGUGCUGCAGUGAAUCCUGAGAGAAGGCAGAGUGAGAGCUGAAAACCAGAAAUGUAUGGUCCAGGAAGAUUUUGGCUGUAAGCAGAAAGAGUGAGGGAGGAAGAUCCCUUUUGUUUCUUGCUGAUAAAUCUGACUGAAUUGAGAGGGUCCUGUCAGACAGGGAAGCCCAAAAUCUCAAGGUGGAAGGAUUUUUAACCUCUGCUGGUUUCUCUCAAUUUCUAGCUAACCUUCUCUUAAUAUGCAUUUUCUAAAAACUUUCAAAAGCAUAUUUGCAGUUUAGAGGGUGCUGCCUAUGCUCCUGCCUGAUUUGUAUCUGAUAAAGAAUGGACACGUUUAUGUGUGUUUCUGGUGUAGGCUCAGAUUCAAUUUCCUGUUCACAAAUACACAUUUGCUUGGCUUAGAUCUUGAUUUCCCUUUGCAUAACACCUGCACAGCUCAGAAAUUGGCUUCUGUUAGAAUUCAAGAAAACCUCAAAGAAUCUCUGUUCCUGGGAAUAUCUGAGAGAGAAGGGAUGAUAGAUUGUGCCUGGUUGUCUCGUGUUGUUUUGAUAUCUGUAGCCUUUUGUGGACAGUGUUAAUUUAAAUAUGUCUGGGGAUAUGAAACUCUUCUGUUUGUGGAAAUUAAUCCCUUACAUGAUCUAAUACAAGAAGACCUGGAGAGUCUGUACAAAAGUGUGCAACUUCCACAUAGGUCAAGAAAAUAUAGGACUUAUUUUUCUGUGUCAUGUCAAAAAUCUUACUCAGGAAAAUGAGCCACCCCAGAGGGGCUGCUCCUCUGGGUCAUAUGCACAAGCUUUGAUUCCUAUUCUCAUUUUUAAUCAAAUAAUUUUCCUGUCAAUCUGUAGUAAUCUGGUUUUUAUCCGAGUUUCUUUCUUGUAAAUCUGGUAAUUGAGAAGCAAAUUAAAUAUAUGUUAAUGUUUCAGUUACUGGGUUCAUGGACCUUAAGGAAGGACUAUUUUUGGACUAGCUAAAUUAAUAAUUCUUGAAUGACUUCUGUUGAAAUGACAGUGCACUCUGGAACUGAGGUUUGUUUGCUGUGGAUGACAGAUGUGAUGGAGGUAAAACAAUGCUUUGGAGUCAUUAAAAUGAGCAGUGACAGUAUGACAAUCCUUCUCAUCAGAUUGGUGAGGCAGCCAAUUGUUGUUUUAAGGGAUGACGGUUUUUCUGUGACCAUCCUGGUAUGUCCAGCAAGAAAUCCCACCUGGGUAAAUCUGCUGACCUUCUGCCCAGAGGAGAAGGAGAGGCGAAGGUCUGUCAGAGCCACACUCACACUCACACUCACCCUCACCCUCACACUCACGCUCAUGCUCACACCACAGUCUGAGUGAGUCUAACAAUCCUCCUCAUUCCCCACUCUCAGCAGGCAGCUCUGUCUCCUGCCAGUGCAGAA
Onychostruthus taczanowskii (white-rumped snowfinch) is the source of this 1762-nucleotide long non-coding RNA. RefSeq lists it as uncharacterized. NCBI's taxonomy places the organism in Eukaryota, Metazoa, Chordata, Aves, Passeriformes, Passeridae. The record is from RefSeq and is a predicted model, not a curated record. The transcript has 4 exons.